GUAAGGACUAGCUUGUUUGAGACGCGCCACCUUCACCUCGCUAUCCUAUUGGUUCAUUUUUCAAGAGUUGCCUAUUAGUGACAUGCAUUUACGUAAUAUUCGUUCAUUCCGGCAAGUCGCGGUGUCACGUGUGGGUCGGUUGUCUUGUUUCCGUGCCAUCCUACCCCGCGCUAGCCUCCUGUGGACACCGGUGCCCUUGGGAGCUGUGGUAGCGGGAAAGGGCGAGGAGGCGGCGUGUGGCGUGCCUGCUUCGUGCGUCGUCAUCACCACACCACCGUCGCCUUCAGGUUAGAUGCAGUUAAUGUUCUCCGUGUUGCCUCCAUGUUACGUGUUGAAGGUUCUCGCAUCUCCUUUCUCCUCGAGGCUGUGUUGUGAAUUUAUAGCCGUGUUCCCGUGCGGCCCUUGAAUGUCCGUCCAUCCUUCUGUAAUUGUCCUUCAAGACUGUCAAGUGCCUCACCUGUUCAGGAAGGUGAUUCCCGUCCACCAAGGGGCGCGAGGGUGCGGGUGUUGGACAGGCUGCGGGGUAGCUGACAGUGGCGUGAGUGAUGAGUGGUGCCUGUCAAUGGGAGGUGAGGCGUGUAUUUCUUGCUGCUGUGGGUAGUCUCUCUCUCUCUCUCUCUCUCUCUCUCUCUCUC
This is a long non-coding RNA of Scylla paramamosain (green mud crab), 635 nucleotides long. RefSeq lists it as uncharacterized. The transcript is spliced from 3 exons. The record is from RefSeq and is a predicted model, not a curated record. Lineage: Eukaryota; Metazoa; Arthropoda; Malacostraca; Decapoda; Portunidae.